Molecule: long non-coding RNA, 298 nt
Filed under: Mytilus galloprovincialis (Mediterranean mussel)
Lineage: Eukaryota; Metazoa; Mollusca; Bivalvia; Mytilida; Mytilidae
Source: RNAcentral
GAAUGUUUUAAUAUUAUUAAUCAUUUGGUUCCUUGACAUCGCGAUGGUAAAAGGAAAUUUCCCGAACUCAAACUAUGUCAUUGCUAAACUAUCAUUUUGAAACUAUCAAUCCAUUCGCUGUACAUUGUAUGUACGUAUUUGAAUAUAUGGAUGGUGAAUAGGUGAUUAUAAUUAAUAUUGUAUGAAACCUUUUUAUAUAUAAUAAGAACGUGAAUGUGAUAUCCUGUAACUUUAUCUAUAGCCUUUGAAGAUUGUCAAUGUGUUAAGGAUAGUUGCAGACCUCCAAUAUUUUUGACCC